GAGACAGGUUCAGCAAUUGAGUCCAUUACGGAGUUCAAUGGACCUGCAGGCCUUGACAUUGAUGGAAUCCACCUGUUCAAAUCAGCACAGGCAGUGGAUUCUCACUGGGCAACUGCAAGCAAGCAUCUUAGUUGUAUGCAGGACCCCCUGGCAUACAGCUGUAUGUGUCCGUGAAGGUGGUGGUGCUGAAUGGUACCGCCUGAACAAGUACAAUCACUCUGGGUUGCUGGUGGUCAUGGCAGGCAGACGUGGUGUAUGGACCCGUGGCAGAUUCAGCGCCUGAAUCAGCAGGCUGAGGUGCUCUUCGGUAAAGAGCAUGUCCUCAAGCCCAACUUUGCCGCUCCAAUGCCCUACCCUGUUGUAUACAAGGACCCAGACAAGGAGGAGCUCCUUGGAGUAGAGUAUGCCAUGUGCCAGUCAACCAGCUUCAUUGCAAAGGAUUACUAUGCCCAGCAAGUUGAGAAAGAGCAGUCCUGUGAAGAAGAGGAGACGGCUGAACAUGCUGGCAGAUGAGGGUGUGGACAUGGGUGCAGGGUAAGAGGAGGAUCCUAUGGACACUGUCAGUGACAAACAUGUCAUCCUCACUCAGUCAGAACAGGUGGAGGAGGAGGACAGUCCUGCUCUGCAGGAUGUGCUGAUGACCCAGAGCCAUCUGCAUCUUCCUGGGCUGGAGGAAGUGGAAGCCUUGGCCCUGCUCAUUUUAGAACUGUCAGACAACAGUGACCGAAGGUCUGACCUAAGGCUGAAGAUUUGCACUGCAGUUGGUGCUCUGCAUGAGCAUGACAGGUCUGCAGCCAACUUGGUAAAAAGGUAUGAGUCAAGGUGGGGUUACACUCUGUUUGGCAGAUGCUUGGGAGCUGACACACCUGAGACCAGAGCAGCACAGAAGACAAAGUUUUCCUGGAUGAGGUACCCUCAGGCAGCCCAGGUGACUGAAGAUAAUCGUCUGUUGUACCUCAUUAUUAAGAUGCUGAAAAACCGGCCACCAGCCAGUCGUCUCACCUCCCCCACUAAAAUCACCAAUGAAAUCAAGAGCCAGUAUAAAAGGAUUGUAGACCGAGUCAGAGACGAUCCCAUCCUCAACGGUCUCUCCAUUCCUCUGCCCAAUCUGAAUGCCAAGUCCAUCUCUACAUUCAUGGCACGGGAAGAGAAAAAGGCUAACUACAGGGCAAAAGUAAUGCCAAAAGUGAAACCCCACCAAAGAGUGGUGUCAGAAGAACCAAUGCCAGCAGCUCCUACUCUGCCAGAAUCCCUUCCAGCUCCAGAUCGACCUCAGGUUCAGUACCAGAGCCUACGUCAUGUAGCAGAGAAAAGGCAUGGUCAGAAGCGGAGGUUAGAUGUGGAAAUGCUUUUGAACCGGCCCAUUCAACCGAAAUCCCCUGUGGCCACGUACAUCCCACCCAGAGCGUCAGCAGCACCUGUCCUGGUAGUGGUUCCUGCACAGCCAUAG
This 1450-nucleotide long non-coding RNA is filed under the name Carassius auratus (goldfish). Its description in RNAcentral is "lncRNA (ENSCARG00000036452.1)". The record is from RNAcentral. Lineage: Eukaryota; Metazoa; Chordata; Actinopteri; Cypriniformes; Cyprinidae.